GGUUGUGCCCUUGAGGCGUGGCUUCCGGAGCUAACGCGUUAAGUCGACCGCCUGGGGAGUACGGCCGCAAGGUUAAAACUCAAAUGAAUUGACGGGGGCCCGCACAAGCGGUGGAGCAUGUGGUUUAAUUCGAUGCAACGCGAAGAACCUUACCUGGCCUUGACAUCCACGGAAUUCGGCAGAGAUGCCUUAGUGCCUUCGGGAACCGUGAGACAGGUGCUGCAUGGCUGUCGUCAGCUCGUGUUGUGAAAUGUUGGGUUAAGUCCCGCAACGAGCGCAACCCUUAUCCUUUGUUGCCAGCGAGUAAUGUCGGGAACUCAAAGGAGACUGCCGGUGACAAACCGGAGGAAGGUGGGGAUGACGUCAAGUCAUCAUGGCCCUUACGGCCAGGGCUACACACGUGCUACAAUGGCGCAUACAAAGAGAAGCGAACUCGCGAGAGCAAGCGGACCUCACAAAGUGCGUCGUAGUCCGGAUCGGAGUCUGCAACUCGACUCCGUGAAGUCGGAAUCGCUAGUAAUCGUAGAUCAGAAUGCUACGGUGAAUACGUUCCCGGGCCUUGCACUCACCGCCCGU
RNAcentral lists this ribosomal RNA (576 nucleotides) under Enterobacterales bacterium. RNAcentral's name for it is "bacterial SSU rRNA". It matches the Rfam family "Bacterial small subunit ribosomal RNA", at positions 822 to 1397 of the family's 1533-position model. Lineage: Bacteria; Pseudomonadati; Pseudomonadota; Gammaproteobacteria; Enterobacterales. The record is from RNAcentral.